Molecule: transfer RNA, 72 nt
Filed under: Fukomys damarensis (Damara mole-rat)
Lineage: Eukaryota; Metazoa; Chordata; Mammalia; Rodentia; Bathyergidae
Rfam family: tRNA
About the family: Transfer RNA (tRNA) molecules are approximately 80 nucleotides in length. Their secondary structure includes four short double-helical elements and three loops (D, anti-codon, and T loops).
Source: Rfam by way of RNAcentral
UGGGAUGUAGCUCAAUGGUAGAGCACUUGCCUCACAAGUGUGAGGCCCUGAGUUUGAUUCUUAGAAUUGCAA